Molecule: regulatory RNA element, 90 nt
Organism: Intrasporangium chromatireducens Q5-1
Lineage: Bacteria; Bacillati; Actinomycetota; Actinomycetes; Micrococcales; Intrasporangiaceae
Rfam family: SAM riboswitch aptamer (S box leader)
About the family: The SAM riboswitch is found upstream of a number of genes which code for proteins involved in methionine or cysteine biosynthesis in Gram-positive bacteria. The SAM riboswitch acts at the level of transcription termination control.
Source: Rfam
UAUCCAUCCAGAGCGGCCUAGAGACCUGGCUCGUCAACGCCGCAGCAACCACCCCAACGGGGCCGGUGCUAAUGCCAGGAUCGAUGAGGU